GGGGUUGUAGCUCAGUGGUACAGUACUUGCCUACUAAGUGUGAGGCCUUGGGUCCAAUCCCCAACAACUCAG
This 72-nucleotide transfer RNA is filed under the name Fukomys damarensis (Damara mole-rat). It matches the Rfam family "tRNA". Rfam says of the family: Transfer RNA (tRNA) molecules are approximately 80 nucleotides in length. Lineage: Eukaryota; Metazoa; Chordata; Mammalia; Rodentia; Bathyergidae. The record is from Rfam by way of RNAcentral.